This 254-nucleotide ribosomal RNA is filed under the name uncultured bacterium. Its description in RNAcentral is "partial 16S ribosomal RNA". It matches the Rfam family "Bacterial small subunit ribosomal RNA", at positions 524 to 776 of the family's 1533-position model. The record is from RNAcentral.
UACAGAGGGUGCAAGCGUUGUUCGGAAUUAUUGGGCGUAAAGCGCGUGUAGGCGGCUUUGCAAGUCGGGUGUGAAAGCCCUCGGCUCAACCGAGGAAGUGCGCCCGAAACUGCAGAGCUUGAGUACCGGAGAGGAUGGCGGAAUUCCCCAAGUAGAGGUGAAAUUCGUAGAUAUCGAGAGGAACACCGGUGGCGAAGGCGGCCUUCUGGACAGUGACUGACGCUGAGACGCGAAAAGCGUGGGGAGCAAACAGG